This 479-nucleotide ribosomal RNA is filed under the name uncultured bacterium. Its description in RNAcentral is "partial 16S ribosomal RNA". It matches the Rfam family "Bacterial small subunit ribosomal RNA", at positions 28 to 507 of the family's 1533-position model. The record is from RNAcentral.
GAUGAACGCUAGCGGGAGGCCUAACACAUGCAAGCCGAGCGGUAUUGUUUCUUCGGCCAUGCGGGAGCGGCGUACGGGUGCGUAACACGUGUGCAACCUGCCUUUAUCUGGGGGAUAGCCUUUCGAAAGGAAGAUUAAUACUCCAUAAUAUAUUGAACGGCAUCGUUUAAUAUUGAAAGCUCCGGCGGAUAGAGAUGGGCACGCGCAAGAUUAGCUAGUUGGUGAGGUAACGGCUCACCAAGGCGAUGAUCUUUAGGGGGCCUGAGAGGGUGAUCCCCCACACUGGUACUGAGACACGGACCAGACUCCUACGGGAGGCAGCAGUGAGGAAUAUUGGUCAAUGGGUGCAAGCCUGAACCAGCCAUCCCGCGUGAAGGACGACUGCCCUAUGGGUUGUAAACUUCUUUUGUAUAGGGAUAAACCUACCCUCGAGAGGGUAGCUGAAGGUACUAUACGAAUAAGCACCGGCUAACUCCGUG